GCAAGUCGAGCGGAAACGACACUAACAAUCUUUCGGGUGCGUUAAUGGGCGUCGAGCGGCGGACGGGUGAAUAAUGCCUAGGAAAUUGCCUUGAUGUGGGGGAUAACCAUUGGAAACGAUGGCUAAUACCGCAUAAUGCCUACGGGCCAAAGAGGGGGAUCUUCGGACCUCUCGCGUCAAGAUAUGUCUAGGUGGGAUUAGCUAGUUGGUGAGGUAAUGGCUCACCAAGGCAACGAUCCCUAGCUGGUCUGAGAGGAUGAUC
RNAcentral lists this ribosomal RNA (262 nucleotides) under uncultured bacterium. RNAcentral's name for it is "partial 16S ribosomal RNA". It matches the Rfam family "Bacterial small subunit ribosomal RNA", at positions 57 to 305 of the family's 1533-position model. The record is from RNAcentral.